RNAcentral lists this ribosomal RNA (465 nucleotides) under Vreelandella stevensii. RNAcentral describes it as "partial 16S ribosomal RNA". It matches the Rfam family "Bacterial small subunit ribosomal RNA", at positions 338 to 795 of the family's 1533-position model. Lineage: Bacteria; Pseudomonadati; Pseudomonadota; Gammaproteobacteria; Oceanospirillales; Halomonadaceae. The record is from RNAcentral.
CCUACGGGCGGCAGCAGUGGGGAAUAUUGGACAAUGGGCGAAAGCCUGAUCCAGCCAUGCCGCGUGUGUGAAGAAGGCCUUCGGGUUGUAAAGCACUUUCAGUGGGGAAGAAACCCUUGGGGCUAAUACCCUCGAGGAAGGACAUCACCCACAGAAGAAGCACCGGCUAACUCCGUGCCAGCAGCCGCGGUAAUACGGAGGGUGCGAGCGUUAAUCGGAAUUACUGGGCGUAAAGCGCGCGUAGGCGGUCUGAUAAGCCGGUUGUGAAAGCCCCGGGCUCAACCUGGGAACGGCAUCCGGAACUGUCAGGCUAGAGUGCAGGAGAGGAAGGUAGAAUUCCCGGUGUAGCGGUGAAAUGCGUAGAGAUCGGGAGGAAUACCAGUGGCGAAGGCGGCCUUCUGGACUGACACUGACGCUGAGGUGCGAAAGCGUGGGUAGCAAACAGGAUUAGAUACCCUGGUAGUC